CACGUAGGCGGAUCAGAAAGUAGGGGGUGAAAUCCCGAGGCUCAACCUCGGAACUGCCUCCUAAACUCCUGGUCUUGAGUUCGAGAGAGGUGAGUGGAAUUCCAAGUGUAGAGGUGAAAUUCGUAGAUAUUUGGAGGAACAUCAGUGGCGAAGGCGGCUCACUGGCUCGAUACUGACGCUGAGGUGCGAAAGUGUGGGGAGCAAACAGGAUUAGAUACCCUGGUAGUCC
RNAcentral lists this ribosomal RNA (229 nucleotides) under uncultured bacterium. RNAcentral describes it as "partial 16S ribosomal RNA". It matches the Rfam family "Bacterial small subunit ribosomal RNA", at positions 568 to 796 of the family's 1533-position model. The record is from RNAcentral.